This is a non-coding RNA of Pelobates cultripes (western spadefoot toad), 233 nucleotides long. Lineage: Eukaryota; Metazoa; Chordata; Amphibia; Anura; Pelobatidae. The record is from the annotation of a GenBank genome assembly.
CCGACCUUAGAACAAUGGGUACAAAAAGUGGAAGGAGCAAGGGAACUAGAAGACAUUCACUGGUCGAUAAUGGGGAAACGUAAUAGGCAUCUCAAAACUUGGGAACCCUGGACAGAGUUUUGGACUCAUUCCAGGACAUAACCGUCCAAGAGACAGCCCUGGGCGGGACUGGACCCUUAGCAGCCAGAUAAGAGGAGCGAGUCAUGAAACAGCAAAACUAUGUUGAAUACGGG